This 433-nucleotide ribosomal RNA is filed under the name uncultured bacterium. RNAcentral's name for it is "partial 16S ribosomal RNA". It matches the Rfam family "Bacterial small subunit ribosomal RNA", at positions 29 to 507 of the family's 1533-position model. The record is from RNAcentral.
AGCGAACGCUGGCGGCAGGCUUAACACAUGCAAGUCGAGCGGACCUUUCGGGGUCAGCGGCGGACGGGUGCGUAACGCGUGGGAACGUGCCUUUCGGUUCGGAAUAACCCUGGGAAACUAGGGCUAAUACCGGAUACGCUCUUAUGGGGAAAGGUUUAUUGCCGGAAGAUCGGCCCGCGUCUGAUUAGCUAGUUGGUGGGGUAACGGCCUACCAAGGCGACGAUCAGUAGCUGGUCUGAGAGGAUGAUCAGCCACACUGGGACUGAGACACGGCCCAGACUCCUACGGGAGGCAGCAGUGGGGAAUAUUGGACAAUGGGCGCAAGCCUGAUCCAGCCAUGCCGCGUGAGUGAUGAAGGCCUUAGGGUUGUAAAGCUCUUUUAUCCGGGACGAUAAUGACGGUACCGGAGGAAUAAGCCCCGGCUAACUUCGUG